CGGGACGGGUGAGUAACGCGUGGGUAACCUGCCUCAUACAGGGGGAUAACAGUUAGAAAUGACUGCUAAUACCGCAUAAGCGCACAGGAUUGCAUGAUCCGGUGUGAAAAACUCCGGUGGUAUGAGAUGGACCCGCGUCUGAUUAGCUGGUUGGUGGGGUAACGGCCCACCAAGGCGACGAUCAGUAGCCGACCUGAGAGGGUGACCGGCCACAUUGGGACUGAGACACGGCCCAAACUCCUACGGAAGGCAGCAG
Molecule: ribosomal RNA, 256 nt
Filed under: uncultured bacterium
Lineage: Bacteria
Description: partial 16S ribosomal RNA
Rfam family: Bacterial small subunit ribosomal RNA
Source: RNAcentral